CCUACGGGUGGCAGCAGUGGGGAAUAUUGCACAAUGGGGGGAACCCUGAUGCAGCGACGCCGCGUGAGUGAAGAAGUAUUUCGGUACGUAAAGCUCUAUCAGCAGGGAAGAAAAUGACGGUACUUGCCUAAGAAGCCGCGGCUAACUACGUGCCAGCAGCCGCGGUAAUACGUAGGGGGCAAGCGUUAUUCGGAUUUACUGGGUGUAAAGGGAGCGUAGACGGCAGCGCAAGUCUGGAGUGAAAUACCAGGGCUUAACCAUGGAACUGCUUUGGAAACUGUGCAGCUUGAGUGCAGGAGAGGUAAGCGGAAUUCCUAGUGUAGCGGUGAAAUGCGUAGAUAUUAGGAGGAACACCAGUGGCGAAGGCGGCUUACUGGACUGUAACUGACGUUGAGGCUCGAAAGCGUGGGGAGCAAACAGGAUUAGAUACCCCAGUAGUC
RNAcentral lists this ribosomal RNA (440 nucleotides) under uncultured bacterium. RNAcentral's name for it is "partial 16S ribosomal RNA". It matches the Rfam family "Bacterial small subunit ribosomal RNA", at positions 338 to 795 of the family's 1533-position model. The record is from RNAcentral.